RNAcentral lists this ribosomal RNA (376 nucleotides) under uncultured bacterium. Its description in RNAcentral is "bacterial SSU rRNA". It matches the Rfam family "Bacterial small subunit ribosomal RNA", at positions 524 to 898 of the family's 1533-position model. The record is from RNAcentral.
GACGGGGGAUGCAAGUGUUAUCCGGAUUUACUGGGCGUAAAGCGUCUGCAGGUGGUUUCUUAAGUCUACUGUUAAAUCUUGAGGCUCAACCUCAAAUCUGCAGUAGAAACUAGGAGACUUGAGUAUAGUAGGGGUAGAGGGAAUUUCCAGUGGAGCGGUGAAAUGCGUAGAUAUUGGAAAGAACACCGAUGGCGAAGGCACUCUACUGGGCUAUUACUGACACUCAGAGACGAAAGCUAGGGGAGCAAAUGGGAUUAGAUACCCCAGUAGUCCUAGCCGUAAACGAUGGAUACUCGAUGUUGGACGUAUCGACCCGUUCAGUAUCUUAGCUAACGCGUUAAGUAUCCCGCCUGGGGAGUACGCUCGCAAGAGUGAA